RNAcentral lists this long non-coding RNA (208 nucleotides) under Coffea arabica (coffee). RNAcentral describes it as "long non-coding RNA (CARA_LNC008188)". The record is from RNAcentral. Lineage: Eukaryota; Viridiplantae; Streptophyta; Magnoliopsida; Gentianales; Rubiaceae.
CAUGUUCCAAUGGGUCACUCAAUCUUCCGCUUAAAGCUAUUGGUUGAUAGCCUUUAGCUUUUGGUCGAAGAUUGAGAUUUUGAUAGAUUCACUCAAACACGUAGCCGUGACACGAUGUGUGCGUAGCGGUGUUUGGGGAAUCGCUCGAGCCACCGACAAAGAACCUUGGGAUUGGUGACCCUUGGUUUCUAAGUCUGAAAGCUCGGGG